Molecule: long non-coding RNA, 1092 nt
Filed under: Macaca mulatta (Rhesus monkey)
Lineage: Eukaryota; Metazoa; Chordata; Mammalia; Primates; Cercopithecidae
Description: lncRNA (ENSMMUG00000053419.1)
Source: RNAcentral
AUGACUGACGGUCGGAAUGAACCACGUGGACUGGGGGAGUCAGACCCCAGACACGCCUGGUGGGGAAUGUGCUGGAAAGAAAUACUGUUUUCAUUCCCUCAUUCCUGGAGGGAGUGUUCCCGAGGGGAUGGGGAGGAGCGUUUGCGGUCGAAGAAGCAGCCGCGUAAAGGCCUUGAGGUCCGGCAGGGAAGGGUCCCGGCGCACAGAGACCAGCACAGGCGGCAGCAGCCGGUCUGUCCCGCUCGUGGAGCCUCUGGCGGCGGGUGGAGCGGAGCGCGGCUGCCCCCUCCUGGGAGAGAAGGCGACAGUCCGGGAGGAGCCCGCAGCGCCAUCCGCGCAGUCCAUGAGAUUUAUCCAGGGCAGGAUUUCAGACAAAAAUCAGGAAUCGUCACCAGCCAAGACUGUGUUCUGACCAUGUGGCGUCUUCCAGGCACCAGGAAGAAAUACGACCAACCUCCGUAACAAAUGAGAGAAGCUUCACCUGACUGUGUUCUGUGCAUUUGGUUUAUUAGUCUUUUUAAAAACGUGUACUUGUACUGCUGGGUUCAGCUUUUCAGCCAUAGAAUAUUCUAGAAAAAACAGUGAUAACAUUUAUUUCACCGCUCUAACCCUGAAUGUGCAGCUGUGUUUUUUCAAAAAACAUUUUUUACAAUUUUAGAAUACGUAACAUGCAUCCAGAAAUGUGCCCUAAACACAAACAUAUGAUUUGGCAAAUAAUUACAUAGCAAAUCCCACGUUACUGUCAUCUCAUCUAGAAACCAUUGUCCUCCCAGAAGCCCCUCACGUGCUCUGGCCAUCCCAAAUCCCUCCCUGCCCCAGGGAUAAAUAAUAUUCCGUUUUGUUUAUUAACCAACUAUGAAUUUCUUAACACAGUAGAUUUGAUUAUGUUUGAAUAUGAAUGCAAUCCUAUUGGUGGAUUGCUCUAGCUGUGUGUGUGUGUGUGUGUGUGUGUGUGUGUGUGUGUUUUAGAAAAAAUACAUUAAAAAAAGAAAAAGGACAUGGGGCCUCUCGGUUUCCUGGCCACAAUUCCUCACUUGGAAUGCUGUUCCCUCACUGCAGAGAGUGGAGACAGCUGCCAGUGUUUUUUCUGUC